AGAGUGAACGCUGGCGGUAGGCCUAACACAUGCAAGUCGAACGGCAGCACUGUGGUAGCAAUACCAUGGGUGGCGAGUGGCGGACGGGUGAGGAAUACAUCGGAAUCUACCUUUUCGUGGGGGAUAACGUAGGGAAACUUACGCUAAUACCGCAUACGCCCUUCGGGGGAAAGCCGGGGAUCGCAAGACCUGGCGCGGAUAGAUGAGCCGAUGUCGGAUUAGCUAGUUGGUGAGGUAAUGGCUCACCAAGGCGACGAUCCGUAGCUGGUCUGAGAGGAUGAUCAGCCACACUGGAACUGAGACACGGUCCAGACUCCUACGGGAGGCAGCAGUGGGGAAUAUUGGACAAUGGGCGCAAGCCUGAUCCAGCCAUACCGCGUGGGUAGAAGAAGGCCUUCGGUUACGUAAAGCCCUUUUAGUUGGAAAGAAAGCAAUCGGUUAA
Molecule: ribosomal RNA, 442 nt
Filed under: uncultured soil bacterium
Lineage: Bacteria
Description: bacterial SSU rRNA
Rfam family: Bacterial small subunit ribosomal RNA
Source: RNAcentral